GACGAACGCUGGCGGCGUGGAUUAGGCAUGCAAGUCGAACGGUAGGAUACCUUCGGGUAUCUGAGAGUGGCGAACGGGUGAGUAACACGUAGGUGAUCUACCCUCAAGAUUGGGACAACCCAGGGAAACUUGGGCUAAUACCGGAUGAAAGCAGCAGUGAUGUUGUUUGAAAGGUGGCGUAAGCUGCCGUUUGGGGAUGAGCCUGCGCUCUAUUAGUUAGUUGGCGGGGUAAAGGCCCACCAAGGCGAUGAUAGAUAGGCGGCCUUAACGGGUGGUCGCCCACACUGGGAUUGAGAUACGGCCCAGACUCCUACGGGAGGCAGCAGUCGAGAAUAGUCUACAAUGGCCGAAAGGCUGAUAGUGCGACGCCGCGUGAACGAAGAAGCCCUUCGGGGUGUAAAGUUCUUUUAUAUGUGAGCAGUGCUUUCUAUGUGAACAGCAGUGGGGAAGAGAUAUUAGCAUAUGAAUAAGCAACGGCUAACUCCGUGCC
Molecule: ribosomal RNA, 490 nt
Filed under: uncultured bacterium
Lineage: Bacteria
Description: bacterial SSU rRNA
Rfam family: Bacterial small subunit ribosomal RNA
Source: RNAcentral